CUAUGGGUUGUAAACUGCUUUUAUCCGGGAAUAAACCUUUCUACGUGUAGGAAGCUGAAUGUACCGGAAGAAUAAGGAUCGGCUAACUCCGUGCCAGCAGCCGCGGUAAUACGGAGGAUCCAAGCGUUAUCCGGAUUUAUUGGGUUUAAAGGGUGCGUAGGCGGCCUGUUAAGUCAGGGGUGAAAGACGGUAGCUCAACUAUCGCAGUGCCCUUGAUACUGAUGGGCUUGAAUGGACUAGAGGUAGGCGGAAUGAGACAAGUAGCGGUGAAAUGCAUAGAUAUGUCUCAGAACACCGAUUGCGAAGGCAGCUUACUAUGGUCUUAUUGACGCUGAGGCACGAAAGCGUGGGGAUCAAACAGGAUUAGAUACCCUGGUAGUCCACGCCCUAAACGAUGAACACUCGCUGUUGGCGAUACACAGUCAGCGGCUAAGCGAAAGCGUUAA
This 446-nucleotide ribosomal RNA is filed under the name Pedobacter sp. RNAcentral describes it as "bacterial SSU rRNA". It matches the Rfam family "Bacterial small subunit ribosomal RNA", at positions 416 to 863 of the family's 1533-position model. The record is from RNAcentral. Lineage: Bacteria; Pseudomonadati; Bacteroidota; Sphingobacteriia; Sphingobacteriales; Sphingobacteriaceae.